UAUGCUUGGCUGGCUUCCCCCUCAGCCUCAUUCUCCUUCUGCCUUUUCUGAGUGCACUGCCUCACUCUUUUUCCAGUUAGAAAUCUGAACUUUCAAAGAGAGGUUCCAAGAAUCAGCCACUUGGCCACAGAAAGUGGGAUGAGCUGCAAGUACCCUGGAAAAGGGAAACAUGUGAACCAAGGAUGCCAGGAGGGACACAACAAUUUUGAAAUUAGGCCAAUUGAUAACACUACAAUGGCUUCAAGAGAAAGGAAGAGUCACCUCUCUUCUUAUAAAUGAAAAGCUAGAAUAAUGAAGCAUAGUGAGGAAGACAUGUUGAAGCUGAGACAGACUGAAAGUUAGGCCUCUUGUGUCAAAUGUUUAGCCAAGUUGUGAAUGUAAAGGAAAAGCUCUUGAAGAAAAUUGAAAUUCCUCAACAGUGAAGCUAAGAAUGAUAAAGAAGAGAAAUAGCCUUAUUACUAAUGUGGAGAAAGUUCUAGUGGCCUGGAUAAGGAUCAAAUCAGCCACAACAUCCCCUUAAGAGGCAAAGCCUAACGCAAGGUAGGGCCCUCACUCUCUUCAAUUCCAUGAAGGCAGAGAGAAGCAAGGAAGCUGCAGAAGAAGAGUCUGAAGUUAGCAAGGUUUGAUUCACAAGGUUUAAGGAAAGAAGUGGUAACAUAAAAGCACAAAGUGAAGCAGCAAAUGCUGAUGUAGAAGCUGCAGCAAGUUAUCUGGAAGAUCUGGCUAAGAUAAUUAAUGAAGGUGGUUACACUGAACACAGAUUUUCAAUGUAGAUGAAACAGUCUUACAUCAGAAGAUUGACAUCUAGAACUUACAUAGUUUGAGAGAAGUCAAUGACCGACUUCAAAGUUUCGAAGGACAGGCUGACUCUCUUGUUAGAGGCUAACACUGAUGGUGACUUUAAGUUGAAAUCAAUGCUCAUUUACCAUCCUGAAAUCCUAGAAACCUUAAGAAGUAUGCUAGAUCUAUUCCACCUGUGCUCUCUAAGUGGAUCAACAAAGCCUAGAUGACAGCAAUUUGUCAACACCAAAAUCUCAUGAACAUUUGCAAUAAAACUAAGUGAUAUUGUGUUCCUAUAAUCCCCACAAUACAAACAGAUGAGGAUAAGCCAAUUGUCAUAGAACCUAUGGUGACAUCUGCAAGGGAGGAAGGACCUAUUUGGAGGAAUCUUAGAACAGAAUUCCUAAAAAGCCAAUGAAAAACCUCUGGAGAACAAGCCAACCAAUUAGAGAGCAGUAGCUCACCUCAAUGCCAGUGAGUGCAAAGCCUCCCAGUAAGAUUCCAAGAGGUAGAAUGGCAUAGUCAGUGGUGUGCUGUUUAACUACUUAAAAACUCUGUUUGCGUUAUUUGCCAGUUCCCAUGGUGUAAAUGUUCCCAUCAUGGCUCACUGCAUGCUACCAACAUGGAUAAAAAGUUGGGAAGAGAGAUAACCCAAUCCAUACUUCUAAGAUGUGAGCUAGCCAUGAGCACUGAGAAGGAUCAGAGCCCUUUUCCAGGAGUGGUGGCAUACUGACUAGAAACUAGUGGAAUCAAAACUGAGAAAGACAAGGGUAACAGAAACAAGGGGAAAAGAGGCAGAGAUAAAAACUUGGGAAUGGAAGAAAGCCAGGAAAUCUCAUAGAGCAAGCUGCCAUAUUUUUUAACAGUGAAGGGAAAACAAGAGGGAGCUCUGCAGAGUUUGAAAAGCUACUCUGAACCACACUACCUUCUAAAAGCUCAGGAAAACUAACAUCGCAUAAAAAUGAGCUAUAGAAGAUCAACCAUAGGCAAAACACAGAAAGAACCCAAAUGUUCAUCAACUGAUGAAUGGAAUAUUAUUCAGCCAUCAAAAAGAGUGAAAUCUUGCCAUUUGCAAUGACAUGGAUGGAGCUGGAGUAUUAUUAUCCUAAGUGAAAAAAG
Canis lupus familiaris (dog) is the source of this 1899-nucleotide long non-coding RNA. RefSeq lists it as uncharacterized. The record is from RefSeq and is a predicted model, not a curated record. Lineage: Eukaryota; Metazoa; Chordata; Mammalia; Carnivora; Canidae. The transcript is spliced from 3 exons.